AUGCUACCUCCCGAUCUGCAAGUGCUCCAGUUUUUCCGGGCCUCCACGUCGUGGACCGUGGGCGAUGGCACCUCCUGCAGAUUUUGGGUCGACCCGUGGCUGGAGGGCAGCUCCAUCUCUUCCCUUGCCCCUGCGCUGACGGCCCUUGUCCCAGCACGGAGGCGGCGUACACGCACAGUGGCCGUGGCUCUCCUAAACCUCACUUGGAUCGCGGACAUCCAAGGAUCGCUAGGGCCGGCCGGCGUUCUUGAGUACGUGGACAUCUGGCGUCGACUGCAUCACGUCGCGCUCUCCUCGCAGUCAGACACCAUCCAUUGGCGCUGGACUGCGAAUGGCAUUUACUCGGCCUUGUUUGAGGGGUGA
Molecule: ribosomal RNA, 363 nt
Filed under: Triticum aestivum (bread wheat)
Lineage: Eukaryota; Viridiplantae; Streptophyta; Magnoliopsida; Poales; Poaceae
Description: partial small subunit ribosomal RNA
Source: RNAcentral